UGAGUGUAGAUCUGAUGAAGAGGGUGGAAGUGAGGAUGUUUUUGUGGUGGUUCACAUGGAUGUUGUUUAAGUGGUUAUGGAGGGAAUAAGGAAGUCGUGGAGCAGGAGCAAUGGUGGGUAGUAUGUAAGAAAUCUUCCACCGACGAAUAGAUAGUGGUGGUUGUAAUGUUGUUUUGUGGUUUCACUGUUGUGGAGUGAGUUAUGAAGGAGAUGGCAAGAGUGAGGUUUUGGAUAUUUAAGGUGGUAAGGAGGUUGUUUGGAAAAG
RNAcentral lists this long non-coding RNA (265 nucleotides) under Lathyrus oleraceus (garden pea). RNAcentral's name for it is "Pisum sativum (pea) long non-coding RNA (PSAT_LNC026713)". The record is from RNAcentral. Lineage: Eukaryota; Viridiplantae; Streptophyta; Magnoliopsida; Fabales; Fabaceae.